GUAGUCAUAUGCUUGUCUCAAAGAGUGAGCCAGGCGAGUGGUGAGGGUGAGCACGUGGACGGCGAAACUGCGAAUGGCUCAUUAAAUCAGUUAUCGUAUAUUUGAUAGUACCUACUACAUGGAUAACCGUGGUAAUUCUAGAGCUAAUACAUGCUUAAAAUCCCGACUUCGGAAGGGAUGUAUUUAUUAGAUUAAAAACCAAUGCCCUUCGGGGCUCACUGGUGAUUCAUAAUAACUUCUCGAAUCGCAUGGCCUUGUGCCGGCGAUGGUUCAUUCAAAUUUCUGCCCUAUCAACUUUCGACGGCUGGGUCUUGGCCAGCCGUGGUUACAACGGGUAACGGAGGGUUAGGGCUUGACCCCGGAGAAGGAGCCUGAGAAACGGCUACUACAUCCAAGGAAGGCAGCAGGCGCGCAAAUUACCCAAUCCCGAUACGGGGAGGUAGUGACAAUAAAUACUGAUACAGGGCUCUUUUGGGUCUUGUAAUUGGAAUGAG
RNAcentral lists this ribosomal RNA (494 nucleotides) under Discula terminaliae. RNAcentral describes it as "SSU rRNA". It matches the Rfam family "Eukaryotic small subunit ribosomal RNA", at positions 20 to 518 of the family's 1831-position model. The record is from RNAcentral. Lineage: Eukaryota; Fungi; Ascomycota; Sordariomycetes; Diaporthales; Gnomoniaceae.